Labrus bergylta (ballan wrasse) is the source of this 429-nucleotide long non-coding RNA. RefSeq lists it as uncharacterized. Lineage: Eukaryota; Metazoa; Chordata; Actinopteri; Labriformes; Labridae. The record is from RefSeq and is a predicted model, not a curated record.
UGGGCUGAUCUUGUGUGGAAAAGAAACAAUAUAGAGCAACACAAAGAAAGUAAGAAAAAUACCUGCAUGAAGGAGAGAAAGACAAGUACCAGGACAAGGGAGAGGAAAGCCUGGAUGAGGAGAAGGUAGCGGUAGAGGAGUUAGAAUGCAUGGUGGGGUAACUGAUGAAAUAAAAGCUUCUAUCAUAGACCAUGUCAUAAAGCACGGGCUAUCAUACAGAGUGGCUGGUGAACGAGGACAGCCAAAUCUCAGCCGGGACACAGUGGUAUCCAUUGUCCAGAUUUUUCAACAAAUCAACAGGAUUCAACGUCUACCUCCCUCAGGGGCAGAGGAAAGCCCCUAAAUGAGGAACAGGAACUUGCCAUUAUCAGCAUGGUGAUUUCUGUAUCUGGUUUCUUUUUUUCAUAAACUGUACAUUAUAUAAAGCUA